Oncorhynchus kisutch (coho salmon) is the source of this 2833-nucleotide long non-coding RNA. RefSeq lists it as uncharacterized. The record is from RefSeq and is a predicted model, not a curated record. Lineage: Eukaryota; Metazoa; Chordata; Actinopteri; Salmoniformes; Salmonidae. The transcript has 2 exons.
AAUGGAAGGUGGGACCAUGUAUCUAACCAGUAGCCACAUUGCAACAUGGAGGACUUCCCAAAAGGCGCUUCUUAUUUUAGGUAAGAAAGCUAGUUUAGAAGUUCAGCCUAAUGCUAUUUCAACGUGUUUUUGAUGAUCUAAUUUAUGUAAAGAUUUGCAAGUGGAUUUCUGUAAUGGUAGACUCAAUAAUUCCAGACAUAAAUCUUUUUCGGAUGCGAAGUCAUACCUUCCGGUUUCAUCUCACACAUUUAUUUUUUUGCCUUUAUUUAUUUAACUAGGCAGGUCAGUUAAGAACAAAUUCUUAUUUACAAUGACGGCCUACAAAAGGCCUCCUGUGGGGACGGGGGCUGGGAUUAAAAAUAAAAUACAAAUAUAGGACAUAACACAUCACGACAAAAGACAGACAACAGCACAACGGGCAAGAAAUUAGAGACAACAAUACAUCACGCGAAGCAGCCACAAAUGUCAAUAAGAGUGUCCAUGAUUGAGUCUUUGAAUGAAGAGAUUGAGAUAAAACUGUCCAGUUUGAGUGUUUCUUGCAGAUGGUUCCAGUCACAAACUGCAGCAAACUGAAAAGACGAUCGACCCAGGGAUUAUGUGCUUUGGGGACCUUUAACAGAAUGAGACUGGCAGAACGGGUGUAUGUGGAGUAUGAGGGCUGCAGUAGGUAUCUCAGAUAGGAGGGAGUGAGGCCUAAGUUUUAAACAAAACAAAAAAUAAGUAUCAACCAGUGGGUCUUGCAACGGGUAUACAGAGAUGACCAGUUUACAGAGUAGUUUAGAGUGCAGUGUGAUGUGUCAGAUAAGGAACGUUGGUGGCAAAUCUGAUGGACGAAAGGUAAAGAACAUCUCUCUAAUGUCACCCAUAUAGCAACUAAUGUCACACAUUACAUGCAUCCUAGCUACCGUACUGGCUUGCUAUAUUAGGCAGCUCUAGGUGCUAGCGGAAAAUAUAAAUAUAUUUGUUAUCUAUAAAGAUAAUUAAAGGCCAUUUAGGUAGUUAGCUAACUUAAACGCAAUAGGAUCAAGGUCAGGCUGUCUGGUCUGGUAUUGUCUCUGUUUCAGUGCAGCAUAAGCCUGUUGGAUGAGCCUAGCUAAAUUGAAACUGCUUGGGAAGAGAGAACUUCAAACAUUAGCUGAGGUCAUCAAUGUAGCUAGCUAAUGAUUUUAGAAAAUAAAAACAAUAUCUUUGCUACCUAUACUUUACUGACCUGCUACUGACUAUUGAACACUUUUUGCCAAAUAAGUUUGUUACUGUGUAUUGAUGAAUUGGUAACUGAAAAAGUAGUAUAUGUAGUAGUAUAUAAAGUAGUAUAUGUACACAUUAUUGUUUCAUUAGUUAGCUAAGUUACUGACUGAUUAGGUACAUUUUUAUUCCUGUUUUUGAUGUUAUUGCAUCUCAGGUGGAGAGGGAGUAAGAUCACUAGAGAGGAGCAUGCUGACAGAGCAGGAAUAAAUCUGUUGUUGCACAGCAGAGGUAUUACAGUCAAUGCAUAUGAACUGAAUAUUGUGUGUGAAUUGCACAUUUAUAUCAUUGACACGAAGAAAAGGGUUGUACAGCAACAUGAGCAGUAAAUGCUAACACGGCUUUGGUGAUGAAAGGUAUGUCAUGGAGGUGACAAUGUAUAUAUUAGAAGAUUCCCCAAUACAUUGCAUUAUAUGCCCAGAACAUAAUUCACCUGGUACGGGUGAAUAUAAGGUGCACACCUCUUUGCUGGAGCAGACCGGGACCAGUGUUGAAAUGGAACGAGAAGGCCUUUAUGGGAAUUGGGAGGGUCAACACUUCACCCUUUCCAAAAGCUAAGUACCUCGCCAUAUUCCAUUUCCAACAUUUCACCUGCUAGCACUGCCUGCUGACAUUCUCUACUGCUUUGUGUGCUACACACAGCCAGUACAGGAGUGCACCUACUGUGAACCAGAGAGGAGGCCUUUUGGGAUACUGGAAAGUACAACAGAACCCAGGAGAGGCCUGCUGCGAACACUGGCUUGGAUCCCUCAGAGCGUACCUGCAGUGGUGUGACCACGGAAGAGUCCUCAAGGACUUUUAAAAUAGGACUUUUCCAUUUGAUCUUUUUGGACUUGUCCACUUGGGACUUUUAGCUAUUGUUAAAUACAUAAUGUAGAACACCCUUCUGUCUCUGGUGUGUGUUUGGAAGGCCUACAUAUCUUGUAACCACUCAUUCAUACAAUCUGAUAUACAGUGGUGUGAAGUACUUAACUAAAAAAUACUUUAAAGUACUUACUUAUGUCAUUUUUGGGGGGUAUCUGUACUUUACUUUACUAUUUAUAUUUUUGACUACUUGACUACUACUUUUACUCCACUACAUUCCUAAAGAAAAUAAUGUACUUUCUACUCCAUACAUUUUCCCUGACACUUUCACACUCUUAAAGAGAAGAGAAAAUCCCUGGUCAUCCCUACUGCAUCUGAUCUGGCAGACUCACUAAACACAAAUGCUUUGUUUGUAAAUUAUGUCUGAGUGUUGGACUGUGCCCCUGGCAAUCCUUAAAUUUAAAACACUUAAGUAUAUUUUUGCAAUUAAAUUGACUUUUGAUACCUAAGUAUAUUUAAAACCAAAAACUUUUGGACUUUUACUCCAGUAGAAUUUUACUGGGUGACUUUCACUUUUACUUGAGUCAUUUUCUAUUAAGACAUCUUUACUUUUACUAUGACAAGUGGGUACUUUUUCCACCACUGCUGAUACAAAUGCAAGCACUGACUUAUAUUCACUUGUCUAUUGUCCCAUUCUUCAAUCUGGUCUUUCAUAUACAUAUUUUAGUUGUUACACCUGUGUGAUGUGUCUGAUAUAAAUGAAUAAAAAUCUAUUCACCCUGUA